AUGGAAUAGGACCCUGUCCUCCUAUUUUCAGUUGGUUUGCCGCGAGGACCAGGGUAAUGAUUAAUAGGGAUAGUUGGGGGCAUUAAUAUUUAAUUGUCAGAGGUGAAAUUCUUGGAUUUAUGAAAGAUUAACUUCUGCGAAAGCAUCUGCCAAGGAUGUUUUCAUUAAUCAAGAACGAAAGUUAGGGGAUCGAAGACGAUCAGAUACCGUCGUAGUCUUAACCAUAAACGAUGCCGACCAGCGAUUAGGAGACGUUGAAUACAAAACACCACCAUGCGCAUUGCGGUCGUCUUUGGUGUCGCUCACAAGGCGGCACCGGGGCGGCUUAGCUCGCAUGGCACCGGUGAAUG
This 350-nucleotide ribosomal RNA is filed under the name Acanthamoeba genotype T3. Its description in RNAcentral is "SSU rRNA". The stretch from base 1 to 301 matches the Rfam family "Eukaryotic small subunit ribosomal RNA", at positions 809 to 1116 of the family's 1831-position model. Lineage: Eukaryota; Discosea; Longamoebia; Acanthamoebidae. The record is from RNAcentral.